UACGGAGGGUGCGAGCGUUGUUCGGAAUUAUUGGGCGUAAAGGGCGCGUAGGCGGGUCACUAAGUCGCAUGUGAAAUCCCUGGGCUUAACCCAGGAAGUGCAUGUGAGACUGGUGGUCUUGAGAGUCAGAGGGGGUAGUGGAAUUCCACAUGUAGGAGUGAAAUCCGUAGAUAUGUGGAGGAACACCGGUGGCGAAGGCGGCUACCUGGCUGACAACUGACGUUGAGGCGCGAAAGCGUGGGGAGCAAACAGGAUUAGAUACCCUAGUAGU
This 271-nucleotide ribosomal RNA is filed under the name uncultured bacterium. Its description in RNAcentral is "partial 16S ribosomal RNA". It matches the Rfam family "Bacterial small subunit ribosomal RNA", at positions 524 to 794 of the family's 1533-position model. The record is from RNAcentral.